Molecule: ribosomal RNA, 3011 nt
Filed under: Salmonella enterica
Lineage: Bacteria; Pseudomonadati; Pseudomonadota; Gammaproteobacteria; Enterobacterales; Enterobacteriaceae
Also listed under: 4 other names
Description: 23S ribosomal RNA
Rfam family: Bacterial large subunit ribosomal RNA
Source: RNAcentral
GGGUUGUGAGGUUAAGCGACUAAGCGUACACGGUGGAUGCCCUGGCAGUCAGAGGCGAUGAAGGGCGUGCUAAUCUGCGAUAAGCGCCGGUAAGGUGAUAUGAACCGUUAUAACCGGCGAUACCCGAAUGGGGAAACCCAGUGUGAUUCGUCACACUAUCAUUAACUGAAUCCAUAGGUUAAUGAGGCGAACCGGGGGAACUGAAACAUCUAAGUACCCCGAGGAAAAGAAAUCAACCGAGAUUCCCCCAGUAGCGGCGAGCGAACGGGGAGGAGCCCAGAGCCUGAAUCAGCAUGUGUGUUAGUGGAAGCGUCUGGAAAGGCGCGCGAUACAGGGUGACAGCCCCGUACACAAAAGCGCAUGUGCUGUGAGCUCGAUGAGUAGGGCGGGACACGUGGUAUCCUGUCUGAAUAUGGGGGGACCAUCCUCCAAGGCUAAAUACUCCUGACUGACCGAUAGUGAACCAGUACCGUGAGGGAAAGGCGAAAAGAACCCCGGCGAGGGGAGUGAAAAAGAACCUGAAACCGUGUACGUACAAGCAGUGGGAGCACCCUUCGGGGUGUGACUGCGUACCUUUUGUAUAAUGGGUCAGCGACUUAUAUUCUGUAGCAAGGUUAACCGUAUAGGGGAGCCGGAGGGAAACCGAGUCUUAAUUGGGCGUUAAGUUGCAGGGUAUAGACCCGAAACCCGGUGAUCUAGCCAUGGGCAGGUUGAAGGUUGGGUAACACUAACUGGAGGACCGAACCGACUAAUGUUGAAAAAUUAGCGGAUGACCUGUGGCUGGGGGUGAAAGGCCAAUCAAACCGGGAGAUAGCUGGUUCUCCCCGAAAGCUAUUUAGGUAGCGCCUCGUGAAUUCAUCUCCGGGGGUAGAGCACUGUUUCGGCUAGGGGGCCAUCCCGGCUUACCAACCCGAUGCAAACUGCGAAUACCGGAGAAUGUUAUCACGGGAGACACACGGCGGGUGCUAACGUCCGUCGUGAAGAGGGAAACAACCCAGACCGCCAGCUAAGGUCCCAAAGUCAUGGUUAAGUGGGAAACGAUGUGGGAAGGCCCAGACAGCCAGGAUGUUGGCUUAGAAGCAGCCAUCAUUUAAAGAAAGCGUAAUAGCUCACUGGUCGAGUCGGCCUGCGCGGAAGAUGUAACGGGGCUAAACCAUGCACCGAAGCUGCGGCAGCGAACGUAUCACCCAAGACAACUUUACGGAGUUGACGAUUGACGGAGCGAAGCGACGUCAAAGCGUUCAUUAAAGUCGAGUUGGCUUAGGGAUACGUUCGUUGGGUAGGGGAGCGUUCUGUAAGCCUGUGAAGGUGUGUCGUGAGGCAUGCUGGAGGUAUCAGAAGUGCGAAUGCUGACAUAAGUAACGAUAAAGCGGGUGAAAAGCCCGCUCGCCGGAAGACCAAGGGUUCCUGUCCAACGUUAAUCGGGGCAGGGUGAGUCGACCCCUAAGGCGAGGCCGAAAGGCGUAGUCGAUGGGAAACGGGUUAAUAUUCCCGUACUUGGUGUUACUGCGAAGGGGGGACGGAGAAGGCUAUGUUGGCCGGGCGACGGUUGUCCCGGUUUAAGCGUGUAGGUGUGUGUUCCAGGUAAAUCCGGUUCACUUUAACACUGAGGCGUGACGACGAGGCACUACGGUGCUGAAGCAACAAAUGCCCUGCUUCCAGGAAAAGCCUCUAAGCAUCAGGUAACACGAAAUCGUACCCCAAACCGACACAGGUGGUCAGGUAGAGAAUACCAAGGCGCUUGAGAGAACUCGGGUGAAGGAACUAGGCAAAAUGGUGCCGUAACUUCGGGAGAAGGCACGCUGACACGUAGGUGAAGUGAUUUACUCAUGGAGCUGAAGUCAGUCGAAGAUACCAGCUGGCUGCAACUGUUUAUUAAAAACACAGCACUGUGCAAACACGAAAGUGGACGUAUACGGUGUGACGCCUGCCCGGUGCCGGAAGGUUAAUUGAUGGGGUCAGCGUAAGCGAAGCUCCUGAUCGAAGCCCCGGUAAACGGCGGCCGUAACUAUAACGGUCCUAAGGUAGCGAAAUUCCUUGUCGGGUAAGUUCCGACCUGCACGAAUGGCGUAAUGAUGGCCAGGCUGUCUCCACCCGAGACUCAGUGAAAUUGAACUCGCUGUGAAGAUGCAGUGUACCCGCGGCAAGACGGAAAGACCCCGUGAACCUUUACUAUAGCUUGACACUGAACAUUGAGCCUUGAUGUGUAGGAUAGGUGGGAGGCUUUGAAGUGUGGACGCCAGUCUGCAUGGAGCCGACCUUGAAAUACCACCCUUUAAUGUUUGAUGUUCUAACGUGGACCCGUAAUCCGGGUUGCGGACAGUGUCUGGUGGGUAGUUUGACUGGGGCGGUCUCCUCCUAAAGAGUAACGGAGGAGCACGAAGGUUGGCUAAUCCUGGUCGGACAUCAGGAGGUUAGUGCAAUGGCAUAAGCCAGCUUGACUGCGAGCGUGACGGCGCGAGCAGGUGCGAAAGCAGGUCAUAGUGAUCCGGUGGUUCUGAAUGGAAGGGCCAUCGCUCAACGGAUAAAAGGUACUCCGGGGAUAACAGGCUGAUACCGCCCAAGAGUUCAUAUCGACGGCGGUGUUUGGCACCUCGAUGUCGGCUCAUCACAUCCUGGGGCUGAAGUAGGUCCCAAGGGUAUGGCUGUUCGCCAUUUAAAGUGGUACGCGAGCUGGGUUUAGAACGUCGUGAGACAGUUCGGUCCCUAUCUGCCGUGGGCGCUGGAGAACUGAGGGGGGCUGCUCCUAGUACGAGAGGACCGGAGUGGACGCAUCACUGGUGUUCGGGUUGUCAUGCCAAUGGCACUGCCCGGUAGCUAAAUGCGGAAGAGAUAAGUGCUGAAAGCAUCUAAGCACGAAACUUGCCCCGAGAUGAGUUCUCCCUGAGACUUAGAGUCUCCUGAAGGAACGUUGAAGACGACGACGUUGAUAGGCCGGGUGUGUAAGCGCAGCGAUGCGUUGAGCUAACCGGUACUAAUGAACCGUGAGGCUUAACCUUACAACGCCGAAG